UGGUGUAUUAGGAGCUGAUGUGCAGCUUAAAUGCUGAAGUGAUAGAUCAAGAGUUGACAUGAUAGCAUAGAGAUUGAUCUAGUCGAUCAAGAGUUGUUAUAGUAGCUUAAAAGUUGAUAUAGCAAACUAGAAGGUGAUAUAGUAAUUCAGAAGCCGAUAUAAUAGACUAAUAUAUCAAGCUGAUGUGAUGACACAUAAUUUGAUAUGGAGAAUGAAGACUUGACAUAGUAGCUUAGAAGCUCAUGUAG
This 248-nucleotide long non-coding RNA is filed under the name Elaeis guineensis (African oil palm). RNAcentral's name for it is "long non-coding RNA (EGUI_LNC061288)". The record is from RNAcentral. Lineage: Eukaryota; Viridiplantae; Streptophyta; Magnoliopsida; Arecales; Arecaceae.